UACGUAGGGGGCAAGCGUUAUCCGGAUUUACUGGGUGUAAAGGGAGCGUAGGCGGCCAGUCAAGUCAGAAGUGAAAGCCCGGGGCUUAACCCCGGGGCUGCUUUUGAAACUGUCUGGCUAGAUUGCAGGAGAGGUAAGUGGAAUUCCUAGUGUAGCGGUGAAAUGCGUAGAUAUUAGGAGGAACACCAGUGGCGAAGGCGGCUUACUGGACUGUAAAUGACGCUGAGGCUCGAAAGCGUGGGGAGCAAACAGG
RNAcentral lists this ribosomal RNA (253 nucleotides) under Cuneatibacter caecimuris. Its description in RNAcentral is "partial 16S ribosomal RNA". It matches the Rfam family "Bacterial small subunit ribosomal RNA", at positions 524 to 776 of the family's 1533-position model. The record is from RNAcentral. Lineage: Bacteria; Bacillati; Bacillota; Clostridia; Lachnospirales; Lachnospiraceae.